UCUCUCAACUUCAUUUGAUUCAUUUCUCAUUUCUCAGAACUCUCGUCUCUCCUCUCUCUCUCUCUCUCUGGUCUUUGUUUCAGAUAUUUGAUUUAUUAAAAUCUGCUACAAUUUUAAAGAGAAACAAGAAGAAAAAGAUUUUGGUUUAUUUAUUGCAAUUAUUGAAAUCUACUUCAAUUUUAAAGAGAAACAAGAAGGAAAAGAUGUCCAGGAGUUUUAUCAGUUGUGAGAUCCCGAUGGGUCAUUUUUAAUUUCUUAUACUUCAUCUCCUUCGUUUUUUUUUUUUGAAAUAUAUUUUGCUUGGUGAGGGGCACUGAAAAAAUGGCCGGAUCUGAAAAAAUUGUCGGAUUUGAGCUAGUAGGAGAGAUGAGGAGAGGGGGUGCGUUGGGGGUUAAACAUUUCUUUUUUUUUUUU
Molecule: long non-coding RNA, 414 nt
Organism: Alnus glutinosa
Lineage: Eukaryota; Viridiplantae; Streptophyta; Magnoliopsida; Fagales; Betulaceae
Exons: 3
Source: RefSeq, a predicted model, not a curated record